UACUUUAUGCUCGAUCUGGUUGAUUAUUUGUUUCAUACAGUCCACUGUACCACCAACUGUGCAUACUGCAUCUUGUGGAAAUUGCAUAUAUGGUGAUCUUUUGCCGGCAUCCCUCGGAGUUUCAGUUCCAACCCAGCAGAACAAUCUCAUGGCCAACACUGAACUCAGAAGUUGUUAUUCAGAAGCUAAGUUUGUUGUUGCAUCCAACAAUGGCAAUAACGGAAUUAGCAUCUGUCCUCGAUGUCUGGAAGGAGCUGCCCCUUUCUUCAUCGUCCAUUUCAAAGUUAAUUACAUACAGUGGUGAUUCACGUAGCCUUCAUCUAGACGAACCCGUGCCGCCAUACUGGUGAAUUUUUUAAUCAAGAUACGAAAGCAACUACAACGUGUGGCGCUGGGCACGACCUGCCUCGUCACAUCUCUAUACCGCCAUCUCUUUCGAGCAUCCGCAGCCAUCUUCCUGGUCUGACGUCUUGUCGCCAUCUCCUCUCGCAAAUCUACUCUGGCCACAUAUGUUGUAGCCGCCACAUCCUGACUAGGGACUCUUCUAAGACCGCCAUGGUGUUCAUUACCUGCUGGCACCCCAUGCGUUCGGUACUGCCCAGUCCUCAACUCGUCACCUUCAUCUCUCCUGCAUCUGCUCUGGCCAGAUUUGCCGCCACUGCGAUAUCCUGAUCAGGCACUCCUUUAAGACCACUUGGUCGCUCAUUACCUGUCAGGCAGCCUAUGUGCUUGCUACUGCCACUGGCCAGCUCCCCCACACUCCCUCUUUCUCAUCAUCUCUUCUUCAUACUCUUUGUUGGUGUACAACACUUGGUCCUUGCGCACGGCACAGAUCGUGUUGGAUUUCCCGCCCUCUCCUGCUACCUACGCUCCUUCAUCCUCCCUGGCUCCUUCCACAUAGCGUACUGUAAGACCACCUACCGGGGCGUUCAUCAGUAGAUUAUUCGUUCAAAAUGUGAUAAAACCUCCCGUCUACUGAUUGUUCUCACGAUCGAGCUGCCGCCGGGAGAAGGUGUACGGCUUUGGACAGAACUCGAUAUACAAGACAUGAUUGAUGAUGAAAUGUUGGAAAAUU
Lolium rigidum is the source of this 1075-nucleotide long non-coding RNA. RefSeq lists it as uncharacterized. The transcript is spliced from 4 exons. NCBI's taxonomy places the organism in Eukaryota, Viridiplantae, Streptophyta, Magnoliopsida, Poales, Poaceae. The record is from RefSeq and is a predicted model, not a curated record.